GAUGAAGAACGUAGCGAAAUGAGAUAACUAAUGUGAAUUGCAGAAUUCCGUGAAUCAUCGAGUCUUUGAACGCACAUUGCGCCCCCUGGUAUUCCGGGGGGCAUGCCUGUCCGAGCGUCAUUGCUGCCCAUCAAGCACGGCUUGUGUGUUGGGUCCUCGUCCCCCCCGGGGGACGAGCCCGAAAGGCAGCGGCGGCACCGCGUCCGGUCCUCGAGCGUAUGGGGCUUUGUCACCCGCUCUGCAGGCCCGGCCGGCGCUGGCCGACGCGAAAGCAACCAUUUUUUCUCCAGGUUGACCUCGGAUCAGGAAGGGAUACCCGCUGAACUUAAGCAUAUCAAUAAGCGGAGGA
RNAcentral lists this unclassified non-coding RNA (349 nucleotides) under soil metagenome. Its description in RNAcentral is "partial contains 5.8S ribosomal RNA, internal transcribed spacer 2, and large subunit ribosomal RNA". The stretch from base 1 to 120 matches the Rfam family "5.8S ribosomal RNA", at positions 35 to 154 of the family's 154-position model. The record is from RNAcentral.